Long non-coding RNA from Cryptotermes secundus, 469 nucleotides. RefSeq lists it as uncharacterized. The transcript is spliced from 4 exons. The record is from RefSeq and is a predicted model, not a curated record. NCBI's taxonomy places the organism in Eukaryota, Metazoa, Arthropoda, Insecta, Blattodea, Kalotermitidae.
CGUUGACUGCCUGCUUUGGGAAUUUGUUUGACAUUCCCGCUAUUAAGUUGGUAAAGCAUGCCCGGUACAUUUGAGAACGAGGACGUUAGUUGUGAUGGGGUGGCACCAGUAGAGAAACCCUGCAAGUGACCAGAGCUACCAUCAAUUUAAUGGAAUACCCACAAAGUCAACCUCUGAACAUUAACUUCAAACACCUCAACUGAGAAAGGAGUGUCCAGGAAGUUAAAUCCCUCAGGAACUGGAUAGAAUUACUAGCUCGCAAGGAAAAUGGAGUCCCAAAAUCUGGUUCACUGGUGCCGGGAUUUGCUAGCAGGUGACCCGUACGGGACAUGCAGGUCUGAGUCGUCACUAACUGCAUUUUAGGGGGUCAGGUUACAAAUCUUGGUCGUCACAUUUCUGUAUCGGCGAAUGUGAAGUGAAGACAAGACUUCCUGGACAGCCUUUACAGUACAAGAACGUGCGCUGUUAA